GGAGCACUGGGGGGAUUGGGAGCACUGGGAACACUGGGGGCUCUGGGAGCACUGGGAGCUGGAUGCUGGGAAGUGAAGUGCUGGGAUAUGGGUGCUGGGAGCACUAGAAGCAUUGGAAGAUGGGUGCUGGGCUCAGCCAGCAAGGCGUGCUACCAGCAGGGAAAAAUCCCUGUGAAACCCUUGGGAAAGCUCAUGGACUUUGCCCUUUGGGUCACUCCUCUCCUGGAGAUCUGCGAUGGAGCCCAGAUAACCCUGGGAGGAGCCCUCGGCAGAGCUAGAAUUGGGCAGACAGGUGAUUUGGGGGGAGAACUGUCACCCCUGAGCACACAGAGCUCCCACCGUGCUGAGGGGACAAGUCUGCUAAUUGUGGUCUGUGUCUAAUUGUGAUCCACCUAAUUGCGA
Parus major (Great Tit) is the source of this 402-nucleotide long non-coding RNA. RefSeq lists it as uncharacterized. The transcript is spliced from 2 exons. NCBI's taxonomy places the organism in Eukaryota, Metazoa, Chordata, Aves, Passeriformes, Paridae. The record is from RefSeq and is a predicted model, not a curated record.